This 257-nucleotide RNase P RNA is filed under the name Meriones unguiculatus (Mongolian gerbil). Its description in RNAcentral is "Nuclear RNase P (ENSMUGG00000006109.1)". It matches the Rfam family "Nuclear RNase P". Rfam says of the family: Ribonuclease P (RNase P) is a ubiquitous endoribonuclease, found in archaea, bacteria and eukarya as well as chloroplasts and mitochondria. Lineage: Eukaryota; Metazoa; Chordata; Mammalia; Rodentia; Muridae. The record is from RNAcentral.
UCUGCUUUGAUGCUCAUCACUCCCCGGCCUCUGGAAAGGUCUGAGACUGGGGCUUCCCGUGGCCCUAACCAGGCUCUCUUCAUAUGGGGAGGUGAGUUCCCAGAGAGCAGGGCUCCAUAAGUGGGCAGACUGGGCAGGAGAUACCCUGUGUGGGCAGAUGCCUCCUUCACUGGAGCUUGGAACAGACUCCAUCCCGCACAGAGUGAGCUUUGAAUGCUUUUUAUACCUUGUUCUCCUUGACAUCCAGUUGACACAGA